RNAcentral lists this transfer RNA (89 nucleotides) under Candidatus Nealsonbacteria bacterium CG07_land_8_20_14_0_80_40_10. RNAcentral's name for it is "tRNA-Leu". It matches the Rfam family "tRNA". Rfam says of the family: Transfer RNA (tRNA) molecules are approximately 80 nucleotides in length. Their secondary structure includes four short double-helical elements and three loops (D, anti-codon, and T loops). Further hydrogen bonds mediate the characteristic L-shaped molecular structure. tRNAs have two regions of fundamental functional importance: the anti-codon, which is responsible for specific mRNA codon recognition, and the 3' end, to which the tRNAs corresponding amino acid is attached (by aminoacyl-tRNA synthetases). tRNAs cope with the degeneracy of the genetic code in two manners: having more than one tRNA (with a specific anti-codon) for a particular amino acid; and 'wobble' base-pairing, i.e. permitting non-standard base-pairing at the 3rd anti-codon position. The record is from RNAcentral. RNAcentral also lists the same sequence under 2 other names. Lineage: Bacteria; Candidatus Nealsoniibacteriota.
GCCGGGGUGUCGGAAUUGGUAGACGAUACGGGCUUAAAACCCGUUGGAGGUAAAACUCCGUGUGGGUUCGAAUCCCACCCCCGGCACCA